Molecule: long non-coding RNA, 232 nt
Filed under: Brassica napus (rape)
Lineage: Eukaryota; Viridiplantae; Streptophyta; Magnoliopsida; Brassicales; Brassicaceae
Description: long non-coding RNA (BNAP_LNC014986)
Source: RNAcentral
UUAUUUAAAAACUUAAGAAUUACUAAGUGGUUUUCCCAUUGAUUCAAAGCUUGUCACUUUGCCUAUAUACAAACGUAAACCUAAUGAAAAGUCUAUACAAUAAGAUGAAUCACCAAAAUAUAAAAUAAGAAAACAACUAAAUACAACAUAUAUGAUUAUAUCUUCCAAUAGUGUGAAUUUGUCUCUUUUAACUUAUGACCAAAUCAAAACUAAUCCUCAAAUAUAAAUUAGA